UACGUAGGGUGCGAGCGUUGUCCGGAAUUACUGGGCGUAAAGAGCUCGUAGGUGGUUUGUCGCGUUGUUCGUGAAAACUCACAGCUCAACUGUGGGCGUGCGGGCGAUACGGGCAGACUGGAGUACUGCAGGGGAGACUGGAAUUCCUGGUGUAGCGGUGGAAUGCGUAGAUAUCUGGAGGAACACCGGUGGCGAAGGCGGCAUCCUGGACCGGCAUUGACGCUGAGGCGCGAAAGCCAGGGGAGCAAACGGG
Molecule: ribosomal RNA, 253 nt
Filed under: uncultured bacterium
Lineage: Bacteria
Description: partial 16S ribosomal RNA
Rfam family: Bacterial small subunit ribosomal RNA
Source: RNAcentral